This 991-nucleotide non-coding RNA is filed under the name Pongo abelii (Sumatran orangutan). Lineage: Eukaryota; Metazoa; Chordata; Mammalia; Primates; Hominidae. The record is from RNAcentral.
GACUUUGGACUCACGUAGGCAUAGGAGAACGAAACUUCUGUACAUUUUAAUCUGAAUAAUUCUUCAGGAUUUAACAUUAAUUGGCUCUGGCUUGGUUGGACCUUACUCGGAUCUCGCCACCUCUGCGUUUCCCGAGUCACUGGCGAAGAGGUCCCGGUUCCUCUGGGAAUCGUCCUGUAUGCAACAUCUUCACAAGGGUGGCAGGCAGUUGAAUCUCUGGACUUCGUGAGACCACUGGACAUUUGGCAGAGAACCAGGAAGCCACGGUUCCCUUCUGUGAGUCCCUCAGCCGGAAAACUACAAGAAUGAAAAGAAUGCAUGGCAUACAUCACCAAGAAUCAAAGGUUGUCCCUGGCAGUGUAAUUGACUCUGUAAUAAAGAGAGAAGCUUCGCUAGCUCCUGAUGCAGCUGCUGUCUGCAGACCCCCUAGACUGCCUGGGGAAGUGAGUCGGAGCUCCUGCAGCAGAGGGGUGGAACAGCUACACGAAGAUCCGAAGGUGGCCAAAAAUAACAGCGCUUUCCAGAUGAGGGAGCCAGUUGUCCAGCACAGUGUCAUGGGACAGUGGGUCCUGGUGCCACAAUGCCCGGCAUCUCCACCAGAUACAGCUUUGAGAUCUUCAUGAUGAAGCUUGCUCCAAUCCAAGGGCUGCCAGAUGGAGUUUGCUGUUCAGCUGCUAACCUUUCUUUGAUCCAAAUCCUGUGUUCACUGGCUUCAAGAAUCCUGUCUUCAUUGGCUUCAAGAAUCCUGUCUUCAUUGGCUUCAAAACUGGGAUGAAGGAGGCUCCUUAGUGGAGAGCAAACCAAAGAGAAACUCAAAUUGGAUUCAUAUUAAAGAAGAGAAGGAUGGAUUUGUUGAGACAACACAAACCCAGGAAGGGUUUGAGGGGUGAAACAAACUGGGUUAUGGAUGAACAGCGGGCAAUUGGAAUGUAGAACUGAAACAGCAAUUAACAUCUUGGUAAGUUACCCACCAUAAAAUGCUUUAGAGCAA